CUCAACUAGUUAGGCUUUCGGGGAGUACUGCCAGACUUGAACCGGGAGAGGUAAGAGGUACUACAGGGUAGGAGUGAAAUCUGUAAUCCCUGUGGGACCACCUGUGGCGAAGGCGUCUUACCAGAACGGGUUCGACGGUGAGGGACGAAAGCUGGGGGCACGAACCGGAUUAGAUACCCGGGUAGUCCCAGCCGUAAACGAUGCUCGCUAGGUGUCAGGCAUGGCGCGACCGUGUCUGGUGCCGCAGGGAAGCCGUGAAGCGAGCCACCUGGGAAGUACGGCCGCAAGGCUGAAACUUAAAGGAAUUGGCGGGGGAGCACAACAAACCGGGUGGAGCCUGCGGUUUAAUUGGACUCAACGCCGGACAACUCACCGGGGCGACGGCAAUAUGUAGGCCAAGCUGAAGACUUUGCCUGAAUCGCUGAGUAGAGGUGCAUGG
Molecule: ribosomal RNA, 439 nt
Filed under: uncultured archaeon
Lineage: Archaea
Description: bacterial SSU rRNA
Rfam family: Archaeal small subunit ribosomal RNA
Source: RNAcentral